Balaenoptera musculus (blue whale) is the source of this 630-nucleotide long non-coding RNA. RefSeq lists it as uncharacterized. NCBI's taxonomy places the organism in Eukaryota, Metazoa, Chordata, Mammalia, Artiodactyla, Balaenopteridae. The transcript has 4 exons. The record is from RefSeq and is a predicted model, not a curated record.
GCUGACUGACUGACCCUGGCGGUCACACUUGCCCUCUGGGGUUUUCGAAAACCCUAAAUCAAAGUUGCUUUUCUCUUUGGCAACUCCCAAGGCUACUUCCGCGGCCUCUGGGCUGUGAACAGAUAAGGACGCAAGUUUCCCCGACCAGGCCACUAAGUAUUGAACACCUACUUCGAGUAAUGCUCUCUCUCUGUUAAGCAGUGUGAGUGAUACCUGGAUUAAGGGAAAAAGUGAGCAGAGCCUUGAAGGAUGUCCAGAAUAACUACACUCACAAAUACACUCUGCUGGAGAAGGACCAGCAUUUGCAAAGACACCUGAAGAGUGCAGGCGGUUCUUAGGGGAAGAUGGAUGAUCCUCUGCUGGAGUGAAGGAUAUGGAGGAAAGUUGUCACUAAUUUGAAUUGAAAACAUUAUAAUAGAAGAAAAAUUCCAGGACAAUUUGUCUUUAUAAAUGGAAUUCUUCAUCUUUGUUGCUCAGUGCAAGUCAUUUAGCCACCAGAAGAGCAUUGUCAGGUAAGACUGUUAACUGAGUCCUGGGGAAACUCACUGCUUUUAAUUGGGUUCCUUGGGUUUAUUUAAUAUGACCCAAUUUAGAUGAAAGAACAUGUUCACUACCUGUUUUGUGGAGUAU